RNAcentral lists this ribosomal RNA (542 nucleotides) under Cronobacter sakazakii. Its description in RNAcentral is "partial 23S ribosomal RNA". It matches the Rfam family "Bacterial large subunit ribosomal RNA", at positions 690 to 1230 of the family's 2925-position model. Lineage: Bacteria; Pseudomonadati; Pseudomonadota; Gammaproteobacteria; Enterobacterales; Enterobacteriaceae. The record is from RNAcentral.
GGGCGUUAAGUUGCAGGGUAUAGACCCGAAACCCGGUGAUCUAGCCAUGGGCAGGUUGAAGGUUGGGUAACACUAACUGGAGGACCGAACCGACUAAUGUUGAAAAAUUAGCGGAUGACCUGUGGCUGGGGGUGAAAGGCCAAUCAAACCGGGAGAUAGCUGGUUCUCCCCGAAAGCUAUUUAGGUAGCGCCUCGUGAACUCAUCUCCGGGGGUAGAGCACUGUUUCGGCUAGGGGGCCAUCCCGGCUUACCAACCCGAUGCAAACUGCGAAUACCGGAGAAUGUUAUCACGGGAGACACACGGCGGGUGCUAACGUCCGUCGUGAAGAGGGAAACAACCCAGACCGCCAGCUAAGGUCCCAAAGUCAUGGUUAAGUGGGAAACGAUGUGGGAAGGCCCAGACAGCCAGGAUGUUGGCUUAGAAGCAGCCAUCAUUUAAAGAAAGCGUAAUAGCUCACUGGUCGAGUCGGCCUGCGCGGAAGAUGUAACGGGGCUAAACCAUGCACCGAAGCUGCGGCAGCGACACUAUGUGUUGUUGGGUA